UAGCAUAUCAAUAAGCGGAGGAAAAGAAACCAACAGGGAUUGCCCUAGUAACGGCGAGUGAAGCGGCAACAGCUCAAAUUUGAAAUCUGGCUACUUCGUAGUCCGAGUUGUAAUUUGUAGAGGAUGCUUUUGGUGAAGUGCUUUCUGAGUUCCCUGGAACGGGACGCCAGAGAGGGUGAGAGCCCCGUACAGUUAGCAACUGAUCCUUUGUAUAGCUCCUUCGACGAGUCGAGUAGUUUGGGAAUGCUGCUCUAAAUGGGAGGUAUAUCUCUUCUAAAGCUAAAUAUAGGCUAGAGACCGAUAGCGCACAAGUAGAGUGAUCGAAAGAUGAAAAGCACUUUGAAAAGAGAGUUAAACAGCACGUGAAAUUGUUGAAAGGGAAGCGCCUAUGACCAGACUUGUCUCUAUCAGUUUUGGUAGUUUUCGGACUGCUUUACUCUGUUAGUACAGGCCAACAUCAGUUUGUUGUCGGGGAGAAAGGCUUAGGGAAUGUGGCUCCUUCGGGAGUGUUAUAGCCCUUUGCAUAAUACCCUUCGGCAGACUGAGGACCGCGCUUCGGCAAGGAUGUUGGCGUAAUGGUCAUCAGCGACCCGUCUUGAAACACGGACCAAGGAGUCAACCUUAUAUGCGAGUGUUUGGGUGUAAAACCCCAGCGCGUAAUGAACGUGAACGUAGGUGAGAGCUUCGGCGCAUCAUCGACCGAUUCUGAUGUUCUCGGAUGGAUUUGAGUAAGAGCAUAUAGGGUUGGACCCGAAAGAAGGUGAACUAUGCUUGUAUAGGGUGAAGCCAGAGGAAACUCUGGUGGAGGCUCGCAGCGGUUCUGACGUGCAAAUCGAUCGUCAAAUAUGAGCAUGGGGGCGAAAGACUAAUCGAACCUUCUAGUAGCUGGUUCAGCAG
Molecule: ribosomal RNA, 897 nt
Filed under: Catunica adiposa
Lineage: Eukaryota; Fungi; Ascomycota; Sordariomycetes; Microascales; Ceratocystidaceae
Description: LSU rRNA
Rfam family: Eukaryotic large subunit ribosomal RNA
Source: RNAcentral